Vicugna pacos (alpaca) is the source of this 2492-nucleotide non-coding RNA. NCBI's taxonomy places the organism in Eukaryota, Metazoa, Chordata, Mammalia, Artiodactyla, Camelidae. The record is from RefSeq and is a predicted model, not a curated record.
CAUGAAAAAAGCAGUGUCGCUGAUAAAUGAAAUAGAUAUAGGAAGAUUUCCACGACUGCUCACCCGAAUUCUUCAAAAACUUCACCUGAAGGCUGAGAAUAGUUUCAGUGAAGAAGAGGAAGAAAAACUUCAAGCUGCAUUUUCUCUAGAGAAGCAAGAUCUUCACCUCGUUCUUGAAACAAUAUCAUUCAUUUUAGAACAGGCUGUAUAUCACAACGUGAAGCCAGCAGCUUUGCAGCAGCAGUUAGAGAACAUUCAUCUCAGACAAGACAAAGCAGAAGCAUUUGUCAAUGCUUGGUCUUCUAUGGGUCAAGAAACAAUUGAAAAAUUCAGGCAGAGGAUUCUUGCUCCCCACAAGCUGGAGACGGUUGGAUGGCAGCUUAACCUUCAGAUGGCUCACUCUGCUCAAGCAAAACUAAAAUCUCCUCAAGCUGUGUUACAGCUAGGAGUGAGCAAUGAAGAUUCGAAGAAACUCCCAAUGUUUUCUGCAUCUCUGGCACCAUUUUACAUUCCCACCAAUAGUGUAUGAGGACUUGAAUUUCUCUACAUCCUCACCAGCAUAUUUUUCCCCUCAUUAAAAAAAGAUAUGUGAUCUUCCUAAUAGCUUUCGUGGACAACCUGGAUACAUCCCCUCUCAGCUGGGGAACCUGCCAGGAAACCUGCCAAGAAAAGGGCUGUCCGUAAUUGUUUGUCCCCUCCCCGCCCCUCAGCCCUUGCAUUUCACCACCAGCCAGCUUCCAGGUCAUUCACACUGGCUGGAGUCCCUUUUAACAAUCUAACAUGGCACCAAAGGCUCUCCUGAUGGUUUCCUCCUUCUGCCCAGCCACGCACUAACACCCAAGUGGCUUUUUUUUUUUAAUUGAGAUAUAAUUGACCCAGCGUUGUAAUUAGUUUCCGUUUGAACCUUCCUCAUGUUUUCUGAAGAGCAAACAUUGAAGUUAAAGAGUUAAUUCUGGUCUGAUGAGCAAAUUUGUGACCCUCUAGUUAUAUUCGCAAGGAGAGCUAAGAAUGUGUUUUCCACCUAAAAAUGCUGUAGUCCCAGAAAAGGUUUUGAUCAGGCCUCCUCCUAAUGUUUGUAGGGCCUGAAGAAGGAGUAAAAAUGGAGGCCAUGGUCUAUUCUAAAUUGAAAGUUUAAAUAAAGCUAUCAGACUGUAAAAUUAAAUGUGAGCUAUACUUUUUUCUUGAUAAGAUAUCUUCCUAAUGUCCUGGAGGCCAGAUUUGAAUGUAAAAUUCUUGGACUCGUGGGGUUCAUGUCAGAACAUGACAAUGUGGGCAGUUGGCCCCUGGCCAGCGCCCUUUUCCUUUUUAUCCUACACAUCUAAGCUCCAUCCUUACUCUCCUAAAAAAAUGAAGAUGGCUACUCUCAGCCACCCCUUGGGUAAACAUGGAUUCUCAAAAUCUCUCUAUACAUAGACAUGAAACACUUAGAAACCACUGCCGUGUUCUUCCAUUUUAGUCAUUGUGCGUUGAAUGGGAAACGAUCAUGGUGGCAGCUCCCAGUCAUAAUGCCAAGCAUGAGGGACUCUACCAGGUAUCAGCUGUUUUCCUUUUAGAGCUAAGUAUUUCAGUAAAGCAGGACAUGACAUUUGUUGCCUUUGAACACAGGCUUGAGCUGCACAGGUCCACUUAUAUGUGGAUUUUUUUCAAUAAAUACUGUGGCACUACACAUGCACAGUUGGCUGAAUCUACAGAUUCGGAACCCGAGAUCUGGAGUGGAGAUUAUGGGACUUGAGCAUCCACAAAUUUUGGUAUCCACAGUGGUCCUGGCACCAAUCCGCUGCAGGAUGCCAAGGGACUACUAUUAUGGAUAUGUAUGUGUGUGUGUAUAUAAAAUAAACACACAUCAUAUACACACUUAUGCACAUACUCACAUUAUUUUAGUUAUUGUUAUUUUAAGAAGUAGUUUUUUAAAGUUCCCUUCUUUCCCUUUCCUCAGUGUAACAUUUUAAGAAAUACUAUGAAAGGAAGCAAAGCAAAAUGCUGGAAACAAGAGCCUAGCUUGGCCGCUACCUCUCUAGGGUCCAGCAAAUUAGUUGUUAACAUACUGAUUUAGUCUCUGGUCUCUCCUGACCUUUGGCUUGGAGGGUAAAGUAAUGAACUUGCUUUGCUUUUCCCUAGGGUACAGCUAGACUUAUCAUCUCCCUUCAACUGCUGGGAGGAAACACAGCACUGCUAGAUAAAGCUGAUGCAGACUUUGGAGGUUUUGUGAUAUGUGCCAAUUAACUAACAUUUUUCUAAUAUAAUUUGAAAAAUUCAUAGUUUUUGUUUAUCAUUUGUAAAGGAUGAGGCUUUAAAACUGGUGUGCUGCUUCAUUCAUUUUAAAGCUCAAAGAUGGGUGUGUAAGAGGAAACGAAGACAUGUGGGAUUUGAUACUGUGCGCGGAAGCUUCAUGAGAAGGGAGGUGCCCUUUCUGAGCGUAGCCCCAUUGAUCUCCUAAAGUUAGCUGCAGAUAACUUGUUUUGAAAUGUUGGCUUUGUAAAUAGAAAUGGAAA